This 543-nucleotide long non-coding RNA is filed under the name Lepidothrix coronata (blue-crowned manakin). RNAcentral describes it as "lncRNA (ENSLCOG00000014823.1)". Lineage: Eukaryota; Metazoa; Chordata; Aves; Passeriformes; Pipridae. The record is from RNAcentral.
GCCAGACUCCAGACACGUGUCAGGAGGGACUGCCCUUCUCUCUGAUGGAACCUCUAACAGAAGCUGGAACAUCAGGGGUGGAAACUGAUGCAACUGUCCCAGCAGACUCUUGAUAAAACAAUGACCACAGAACGCUCCUGUAACUCUUCAGACCGUGUUUACAGCCAAGAUGUUAAGAUGGCAACAUGGGAUAAUUUGAAGAUGAUCUGUACUAACAACAAAGAACUUCAAGUUUCAAACCUCCUUAAAAAAGUGGACUCGAUUUCCCCCCAAAAAAUGUGUGUACAUUCCUUAGUCAAGUUAAUAUAAAGUGUGAUAAUCAAUCCUCUCACCAAACAAUAGUUGCUGUUCUGUCAUUUGUCUUACUGUACACAGGAACUCAUGCAAAACUGAAACAGCAAUGUGGGUCGGUUGUUAAGGAGCUCGUAGAUCUAAAAUUUGAGCUCAGGCCACAAGAUCACAUGUACAGCAACAGAACCGAUUCUUUGAUGCAUUGUGAUCAACAAGUUAAAAAUCUGCUUAGGAGAGAUCAUUAAAUCCCAC